GCAUGUGCGCGAUAUAUAUUAACCCACCGGAUCCCAUCAGAACUCCGAAGUUAAGCGUGCUGGGGUGAGAGUAGUACUAGGAUGGGUGACCUCGUGGGAAGUCCUCGUGUUGCAUUCC
This 118-nucleotide ribosomal RNA is filed under the name Aegilops tauschii subsp. strangulata. The record is from RNAcentral. Lineage: Eukaryota; Viridiplantae; Streptophyta; Magnoliopsida; Poales; Poaceae.